AUGCCUCUCGGAUAGAGAUAGAGAUAAAGGGAGAAAGGGUGAGGGAGAAAGGGUGAGGAGACAGAGGAAUAGAUUACAAAUUUGUUAAGAAAAGUUGGUUAUGAUGAAAUUUCAUUCUUAAAAAUCCAUCAAAUCAUGCUUAAAUUUGUGAUUUUUGUAAGUUACUGAAUUAGGAGACGUUUUCUAGUGGAGAAAACAUCGCAGCGCAGAGGAAAAUUAGGUUUUGUUUUGCAAUUUGCACCACCAAAAUAUCCACGUGAAGAGACUGACUAUUCAAGCUUUGCAACUUAAUUCAAGGGCGUUAAUCAGUAUAUAAGGCUAUUCCAUUUGGUGAGAAAGAGAUCAUCGAUUUGAAAUGAGCUUUUUAUCUUUAAGUUCUGGAUGACAAGCUAUACACAAGAAGGUUGAAGGAGUCAGCGAUGAAAUUUUGGAUGCCAAAGAGAAGAAGCCUGGAAAGAUGAAAAGGGAAUAUGAGAUGAUAUUGAAGAAAGCCUUGCAAAGCAUCUGCUUGCUUAAUUCAGAUGCCACAACUUCGGUUAUUUUUUAGGUGAGGUGUUAUGUUUGUAUGAAAAUGUGAGUCUCAAAUAUUUUAAGCAUUGUGUCGGCAACUUGAGAUGGUUGUAAAGCAGUGCAUGUAGCAUUGGUGCCUUUUACUUUACAUGUGUAUUUGUUUCGUUCGAACUAAAAUUACAGUGUACAUUUUUAUGCCAAAGACAAGUUAAGAACUUUGGAGCCUGAUAUUCUUUGUUAGAAUUUCAGUUACAAAACUAGGGAGGGAUCCUGUCCAUUUAUGAUUCAAUGUAGAAAGAUUGGGAUGGUAAAGAUUUCUAGGGUGUUUUCUAGGUUGUUUUUGGACUGCAUUAAUUUCUUGCAAGACCGCAUUAAAAAGCAUUUUUUUCAGUCACACAUUAUAGAAGCACUUCGUUUUGAUUUGUAAACAAACUAUAUGCUUUAUCUUUGUCUUAAGUUAUAGUAUAACGUUUCAUGAUUGAAUUUGUAAGAUGGUUUAGCAAUUUUUUCACAAGCUUGCUAUUCCUACCAGAUGCUUAAGUAUUGUCCUCUACUUUUUUGUUUUCCUUUUUCUGUGUUUUUCUCAGGUGGAGUGGGUUGAUUACUUGAAACUAUAAGUAUAAUAUUAAUGGCACAAUACGAUCUACAAAUGAAUGUUCUCACACCAUGCAUAUCCAUGUAUAGCAAGCAAAGUAUCACUUCAUUGGUUCUUAGGUACUGAACCGUCUUAGUUACUUUGUGUAGAAACUAUUCAUGCAUGUUCCGACUAAUACAUUAAAUCCCUGCAACGAAGCGUGGGCACAUUUUCUAGUAUGUUCUAAGACCGAGUCCAGCCCUAAGAGAGAUUGACGAAUCCUGAUCGGUGUUUGACUUUUUAGGAUUUAGGAUUGGAUUCAGUUGAGUCCCAAAUUUUGAGUAAAAUUGUUAAGGAUCAGAAUGGACAAUAAUGAGAUUUGUAAUAUUCCAAGAAACAUUAUUCAUAGCUGAUCAAGAUCUAGAAUGGAUUAAAUAUAGAAAAGGCCGGGUUCAGAGUCCUAAGUCUAGUAGGAUUAGCUGAGCUUCACGAAAAGAUCAUGAUAGUUUGAUACCAAGGAAGCAUGGUAUGAAUUGGACUUUGCUACUGCAUGAGGUGGUUAUCUUGAAGAGUUACUCCUAUAACUAGAAGAGGGUCUCCAACAUCCAAGGCACCCUCAACUCAACAAACAAGCUUCUGCUCUGCACAAUUUCUCGCUCUACACGAAUCAUUCUCAUAUUUGAGAAAAACAUUGACCCUCCUAACUUUGUUAAGCACAUCUUUGAGUUUGUAUAAAUAGCAUUGUGGUUGACAACCAGCUACAUCUUACAAUUUCUAGAAACAACACUAGAGCCGUAGAGUCAAGUGAUCAAGGAGCACCUUCCAAUUUGUAGAAACAUCAUUAUUCCGAGUUUGGUUGACUAUCUAUCUAAGUCUCUAUCAGCGAAGAAUCUUUGAGUCCUUGUUAGAAGAUCUCAUUAGCUUCUCAGCGAAUGAGGUGUUACCAGGUUAUAUUGUUUGGCACAUUGAAAACACUACCCAUUUUAUGAUUGGAUACUCACAAGUGCAUUUUAGAGUUCGGCAUUCCG
Malus domestica (apple) is the source of this 2112-nucleotide long non-coding RNA. RefSeq lists it as uncharacterized. The record is from RefSeq and is a predicted model, not a curated record. Lineage: Eukaryota; Viridiplantae; Streptophyta; Magnoliopsida; Rosales; Rosaceae.